GCCCUUCCUACGGGAGGCAGCAGUGGGGGAUAUUGCACAAUGGGCGCAAGCCUGAUGCAGCGACGCCGCGUGAGGGAUGACGGCCUUCGGGUUGUAAACCUCUUUCAGUUGGGAAGAAGCCUUUCGUGGUGACGGUACCUUCAGAAGAAGCACCGGCUAACUACGUGCCAGCAGCCGCGGUAAUACGUAGGGUGCGAGCGUUAUCCGGAAUUAUUGGGCGUAAAGAGCUCGUAGGCGGUUUGUCACGUCUGCUGUGAAAGCUCGGGGCUUAACUCCGAGUGUGCAGUGGGUACGGGCAGGCUGGAGUGCAGUAGGAGAGACUGGAAUUCCUGGUGUAGCGGUGAAAUGCGCAGAUAUCAGGAGGAACACCGAUGGCGAAGGCAGGUCUCUGGGCUGUUACUGACGCUGAGGAGCGAAAGCAUGGGGAGCGAACAGGAUUAGAUACCCUGGUAGUCCAUGCCGUAAACGUUGGGCACUAGGUGUGGGGAACAUUCCACGUUUUCCGCGCCGUAGCUAACGCAUUAAGUGCCCCGCCUGGGGAGUACGGCCGCAAGGCUAAAACUCAAAGGAAUUGACGGAAGGGC
This 584-nucleotide ribosomal RNA is filed under the name uncultured bacterium. Its description in RNAcentral is "bacterial SSU rRNA". It matches the Rfam family "Bacterial small subunit ribosomal RNA", at positions 332 to 922 of the family's 1533-position model. The record is from RNAcentral.